Molecule: ribosomal RNA, 350 nt
Filed under: uncultured bacterium
Lineage: Bacteria
Description: partial 16S ribosomal RNA
Rfam family: Bacterial small subunit ribosomal RNA
Source: RNAcentral
CCUACGGGAGGCAGCAGUAGGGAAUAUUGCUCAAUGGGGGAAACCCUGAAGCAGCAACGCCGCGUUGAGGAUGAAGGUUUUCGGAUUGUAAACUCCUUUUUUUAGAGAAGAUAAUGACGUUAUCUAACGAAUAAGCACCGGCUAACUCCGUGCCAGCAGCCGCGGUAAUACGGAGUAUGCGAGCGUUAUCCGGAUUUAUUGGUUUUUAAGGGUGCGUAGGCGGACAGUCAAGUCAGAGGUAAAAAUGCGGGGGUCAACUCCGUACAGCCGUUGACACUGGCAGUCUUGAGUGGGCGAGAAGGAUGCGGAAUGAGUGGUGUAGCGGUGAAAGGCAUAGAUAUCACGAAGAA